This is a non-coding RNA of Triticum aestivum (bread wheat), 115 nucleotides long. The record is from Rfam. Lineage: Eukaryota; Viridiplantae; Streptophyta; Magnoliopsida; Poales; Poaceae.
AUAAUACUCCCUCCAUCCGGAAUUACUUGUCAUCAAAAUGGAUGUGUCUAGAACUAAAAUACAUCUAGAUACAUCCAUUUCAAUGACAAGUAUUUUCGGACGGAGGGAUGAUGUC